UAGGGAAUCUUCGGCAAUGGGGGCAACCCUGACCGAGCAACGCCGCGUGAGUGAAGAAGGUUUUCGGAUCGUAAAGCUCUGUUGUAGGUCAAGAACGGGUGUGAGAGUGGAAAGUUCACACUGUGACGGUAGCUUACCAGAAAGGGACGGCUAACUACGUGCCAGCAGCCGCGGUAAUACGUAGGUCCCGAGCGUUGUCCGGAUUUAUUGGGCGUAAAGCGAGCGCAGGCGGUUUGAUAAGUCUGAAGUUAAAGGCUGUGGCUCAACCAUAGUUCGCUUUGGAAACUGUCAAACUUGAGUGCAGAAGGGGAGAGUGGAAUUCCAUGUGUAGCGGUGAAAUGCGUAGAUAUAUGGAGGAACACCGGUGGCGAAAGCGGCUCUCUGGUCUGUAACUGACGCUGAGGCUCGAAAGCGUGGGGAGCGAACAGGAUUAGAUACCCUGGUAGUCCACGCCGUAAACGAUGAGUGCUAGGUGUUGGAUCCUUUCCGGGAUUCAGUGCCGCAGCUAACGCAUU
RNAcentral lists this ribosomal RNA (515 nucleotides) under uncultured bacterium. RNAcentral's name for it is "partial 16S ribosomal RNA". It matches the Rfam family "Bacterial small subunit ribosomal RNA", at positions 355 to 861 of the family's 1533-position model. The record is from RNAcentral.